RNAcentral lists this ribosomal RNA (515 nucleotides) under uncultured bacterium. RNAcentral's name for it is "bacterial SSU rRNA". It matches the Rfam family "Bacterial small subunit ribosomal RNA", at positions 553 to 1071 of the family's 1533-position model. The record is from RNAcentral.
AUUGGGCGUAAAGCGCGUCUAGGCGGCAAGGAAAGUCUGAUGUGAAAAUGCGGAGCUCAACUCCGUAUGGCGUUGGAAACUGCCUUACUAGAGUACUGGAGAGGUAGGCGGAACUACAAGUGUAGAGGUGAAAUUCGUAGAUAUUUGUAGGAAUGCCGAUGGGGAAGCCAGCCUACUGGACAGAUACUGACGCUAAAGCGCGAAAGCGUGGGUAGCAAACAGGAUUAGAUACCCUGGUAGUCCACGCCGUAAACGAUGAUUACUAGGUGUUGGGGGUCGAACCUCAGCGCCCAAGCUAACGCGAUAAGUAAUCCGCCUGGGGAGUACGUACGCAAGUAUGAAACUCAAAGGAAUUGACGGGGACCCGCACAAGCGGUGGAGCAUGUGGUUUAAUUCGAUGCAACGCGAAGAACCUUACCUGGUCUUGACAUAGUGAGAAUCCUACAGAGAUGUGGGAGUGCCUUCGGGAAUUCACAUACAGGUGCUGCAUGGCUGUCGUCAGCUCGUGUCGUGAG